Molecule: ribosomal RNA, 253 nt
Filed under: uncultured bacterium
Lineage: Bacteria
Description: partial 16S ribosomal RNA
Rfam family: Bacterial small subunit ribosomal RNA
Source: RNAcentral
UACGUAGGGACCGAGCGUUGUCCGGAAUCAUUGGGCGUAAAGCGCGCGUAGGUGGCCCCGUAAGUCCGCUGUGAAAGUCAAAGGCUCAACCUUUGAAAGCCGGUGGAUACUGUGGGACUAGAGUACGGAAGAGGCGAGUGGAAUUCCUGGUGUAGCGGUGGAAUGCGCAGAUAUCAGGAGGAACACCAAUAGCGAAGGCAGCUCGCUGGGACGUUACUGACACUGAGGCGCGAAAGCGUGGGGAGCGAACAGG